This 263-nucleotide unclassified non-coding RNA is filed under the name Hevea brasiliensis (rubber tree). The record is from RNAcentral. Lineage: Eukaryota; Viridiplantae; Streptophyta; Magnoliopsida; Malpighiales; Euphorbiaceae.
GUGAGAAACCGUCCAGCCGGCACAUUGAGCUGCCCGCCGCCUCGCUCCCUAAGCCGCGCAACCGCCUCGAUCGCACGCUCAAACGCCUGCGUGUUGAUCGUUCUCCCAUCCCCAACCCCGCCGAAAUCCGUCAGGUUGAACGCUACCGGCCGGAGCAUCGGAGCAGCCGAAUUCCCCGUAGCGCCUCGCCAGAGAAACCCUAGACCGAUUGCCCCAACCGAACUCCGCUGCCAGAGAAACAGUGAGCCAAAAACGGUGAUCCA